GACGAACCACCCAAACGUGAUUCGGAAUCACUGGGCGUAAAGCGCGCGUAGGCGGCGUGAUAAGCCGGUUGUGAACGCCCCGGGCUCAACCUGGGAACGGCAUCCGGAACUGUCAGGCUAGAGUGCAGGAGAGGAAGGUAGAAUUCCCGGUGUAGCGGUGAAAUGCGUAGAGAUCGGGAGGAAUACCAGUGGCGAAGGCGGCCUUCUGGACUGACACUGACGCCGAGGUGCGAAAGCGUGGGUAGCAAACAGG
This 253-nucleotide unclassified non-coding RNA is filed under the name uncultured Halomonadaceae bacterium. Its description in RNAcentral is "contains 16S-23S intergenic spacer region". It matches the Rfam family "Bacterial small subunit ribosomal RNA", at positions 524 to 776 of the family's 1533-position model. The record is from RNAcentral. Lineage: Bacteria; Pseudomonadati; Pseudomonadota; Gammaproteobacteria; Oceanospirillales; Halomonadaceae.